UAAGGAAUAUUGGACAAUGGAGGCAACUCUGAUCCAGCCAUGCCGCGUGAAGGAAUAAGGCCCUAUGGGUUGUAAACUUCUUUUAGACGGGACAAAACCCCUUUACGUGUAAAGGGUUGAUGGUACUGUCAGAAUAAGCAUCGGCUAACUUCGUGCCAGCAGCCGCGGUAAUACGGAGGAUGCAAGCGUUAUCCGGAAUUAUUGGGUUUAAAGGGUGCGUAGGCGGACUAAUAAGUCAGUGGUGAAAGCCUGCAGCUUAACUGCAGAAUUGCCAUUGAUACUGUUAGUCUUGAGUACAGUUGAGGUAGGCGGAAUGUGUCAUGUAGCGGUGAAAUGCUUAGAUAUGACACAGAACACCGAUUGCGAAGGCAGCUUGCUAAGCUGUAACUGACGCUGAGGCACGAAAGCGUGGGGAGCAAACA
This 422-nucleotide ribosomal RNA is filed under the name uncultured bacterium. RNAcentral describes it as "bacterial SSU rRNA". It matches the Rfam family "Bacterial small subunit ribosomal RNA", at positions 355 to 774 of the family's 1533-position model. The record is from RNAcentral.